GGUUGACCUGCACCGACUUCACAGCCGUGUAGUUGGCCAGCGCGUACUCGCCCAGCUCGCGACCAAUACCCGACUGCUUGUACCCGCCGAACGGCACGUUGGGGUAGAGCAUGUUCGCCGCGUUGACCCAGACGGUGCCGGCCUUGAUCUUGUGCGCGGUGCCGAGCGCGCGCGAGAUGUUCUGCGAGAACACGGCGGCGGCGAGGCCGUACACGGUGUCGUUCGCCUGCCG
This 232-nucleotide unclassified non-coding RNA is filed under the name Hevea brasiliensis (rubber tree). Lineage: Eukaryota; Viridiplantae; Streptophyta; Magnoliopsida; Malpighiales; Euphorbiaceae. The record is from RNAcentral.